GACGGCUUCAAUCUAAUGAUACUUGUUUGGUGUCUUCUCUGGAAUGGUUGCUUGUAGGUUUUUUUGGCGGGUGUAAAUACUUUCCAACCAGUUCAAUGUUAGUUUUUAAACAACGGACCUGUAUACAGAACCAUUGACCUUCUCUUCCACUCAGCAGCCACUCGGUUGCUGAACACAACGAGCCCGAUGAAACCCUUGAAUGACAUUGCAGCGACGCCAGUCCACUUGGUGGCGAUGGAACGAAAAAAAGGUUUUCUGCUGACGACGGCAGAUCCAAACAAUCUCUUGAGUCAUCCCAGGAAAAACUACCCUACACGACUUUGACUUAUUGCUGAUGACGGCGAAGAUUCCGGGCCCCUCU
Gasterosteus aculeatus aculeatus (three-spined stickleback) is the source of this 361-nucleotide long non-coding RNA. The record is from Ensembl. NCBI's taxonomy places the organism in Eukaryota, Metazoa, Chordata, Actinopteri, Perciformes, Gasterosteidae.